UGAAGAGUUUGAUCAUGGCUCAGAUUGAACGCUGGCGGCAGGCCUAACACAUGCAAGUCGAGCGGCAGCGGGAAAGUAGCUUGCUACUUUUGCCGGCGAGCGGCGGACGGGUGAGUAAUGCCUGGGAAAUUGCCCAGUCGAGGGGGAUAACAGUUGGAAACGACUGCUAAUACCGCAUACGCCCUACGGGGGAAAGCAGGGGACCUUCGGGCCUUGCGCGAUUGGAUAUGCCCAGGUGGGAUUAGCUAGUUGGUGAGGUAAUGGCUCACCAAGGCGACGAUCCCUAGCUGGUCUGAGAGGAUGAUCAGCCACACUGGAACUGAGACACGGUCCAGACUCCUACGGGAGGCAGCAGUGGGGAAUAUUGCACAAUGGGGGAAACCCUGAUGCAGCCAUGCCGCGUGUGUGAAGAAGGCCUUCGGGUUGUAAAGCACU
This 435-nucleotide ribosomal RNA is filed under the name Aeromonas hydrophila. RNAcentral describes it as "bacterial SSU rRNA". It matches the Rfam family "Bacterial small subunit ribosomal RNA", at positions 1 to 434 of the family's 1533-position model. Lineage: Bacteria; Pseudomonadati; Pseudomonadota; Gammaproteobacteria; Aeromonadales; Aeromonadaceae. The record is from RNAcentral.